CACUAGAAAGCUAAAACGGGACUAGCGUUAGCCUUUUAAGCUAAAAAUUGGUGACUCCCAACCACCUCCAGUGA
Molecule: transfer RNA, 74 nt
Filed under: Hoplisoma nattereri (blue corydoras)
Lineage: Eukaryota; Metazoa; Chordata; Actinopteri; Siluriformes; Callichthyidae
Also listed under: 4 other names
Description: Corydoras nattereri tRNA-Lys
Rfam family: tRNA
About the family: Transfer RNA (tRNA) molecules are approximately 80 nucleotides in length. Their secondary structure includes four short double-helical elements and three loops (D, anti-codon, and T loops). Further hydrogen bonds mediate the characteristic L-shaped molecular structure. tRNAs have two regions of fundamental functional importance: the anti-codon, which is responsible for specific mRNA codon recognition, and the 3' end, to which the tRNAs corresponding amino acid is attached (by aminoacyl-tRNA synthetases). tRNAs cope with the degeneracy of the genetic code in two manners: having more than one tRNA (with a specific anti-codon) for a particular amino acid; and 'wobble' base-pairing, i.e. permitting non-standard base-pairing at the 3rd anti-codon position.
Source: RNAcentral